This 496-nucleotide ribosomal RNA is filed under the name uncultured bacterium. RNAcentral describes it as "partial 16S ribosomal RNA". It matches the Rfam family "Bacterial small subunit ribosomal RNA", at positions 28 to 506 of the family's 1533-position model. The record is from RNAcentral.
GAUGAACGCUGGCGGCGUGCCUAAUACAUGCAAGUCGAGCGAACAGAUGAGGAGCUUGCUCCUCUGACGUUAGCGGCGGACGGGUGAGUAACACGUGGAUAACCUACCUAUAAGACUGGGAUAACUUCGGGAAACCGGAGCUAAUACCGGAUAAUAUAUUGAACCGCAUGGUUCAAUAGUGAAAGACGGUUUUGCUGUCACUUAUAGAUGGAUCCGCGCCGCAUUAGCUAGUUGGUAAGGUAACGGCUUACCAAGGCAACGAUGCGUAGCCGACCUGAGAGGGUGAUCGGCCACACUGGAACUGAGACACGGUCCAGACUCCUACGGGAGGCAGCAGUAGGGAAUCUUCCGCAAUGUGCGAAAGCCUGACGGAGCAACGCCGCGUGAGUGAUGAAGGUCUUCGGAUCGUAAAACUCUGUUAUUAGGGAAGAACAAAUGUGUAAGUAACUAUGCACGUCUUGACGGUACCUAAUCAGAAAGCCACGGCGAACUACGU